This 809-nucleotide long non-coding RNA is filed under the name Homo sapiens (human). RNAcentral describes it as "HSALNT0358966". The record is from RNAcentral. Lineage: Eukaryota; Metazoa; Chordata; Mammalia; Primates; Hominidae.
GUAGAGGUUCUUAGCUACGGAGAUGUCCCUGCCAAGACCUAAAAGCUGGGAGAGAAGGGACACCCAGAAUACUGAGAACUAAGCAGGCCUGGAACAAUGCCAAGGCAGGAUACAGGUUAUCCAUAGUGUGUAAAAUCUACAUGUUUUGGAGCAUAUUUUUAUUCUUAAAAAAUAGUGCUACAGAUUAUGGUGGAUAAUGCAGGUGCCCCACCACAUCCCCUAGCUGCCGUGAAUGUUGACUGCUGGAUAGUAUUCCAUCUACCUUGCUUCUUGCUUCUCUCAUUCUUCUUUUCUUAAGAGAAGCACUUCAACAAGAAUUCUUCUCAGGCUCUGCUUUUGGGGAAAGCAACCUAAGACACAGGUUCAUGAUGCUCUCUCUGGCCACCUUCCAGACAGGAAGAAAGAGCAGAGGAUCACUGUGAGAGGAAUUUGAGGAUCAAAUCCUGAAGUGGAGUAGAAAGCAGAAGGCAACGUUAGAUGUAAAAAGAAAGACCUCAAAGCACUGUUGCUGGUAUGAAGAUGGAGUACUUGUGCUGCCGAAGAGAACACAACAACACACUCAGAGACAGAGCCCAUAGACAAUGGCACCAGAGGAUCUAGGAGCAGAUUUCACUCUCCCCAUCAAUUUACCUUCCCAUAUUUUCCCACCUUUUGGAAGCCUGAAGAUGCUUUCUUCUUUUUCUUGUCACUAUGUAGGAUUUAUGGCUGUUUGUUAAAAUAUUAUUUAAGCAAGGACCCUAAGCCACUGCCUUGAGAAAGAAAUACUUUUGAACUGAGACCUUAGGAAAGGUCUCAUCAGGAGCAUCAUG